ACUUCAUUAAACCUAGAAGUAGAAAGCGAGCUUGGCUUUAAUGAGGCUUCUCCCCAAAAAUUCAGCUUGUCCUUUCCCAGCCCAACCCUAACCACCCAACAUAGCUCAAACCCUAACCGCCACCACCAGGUCUACUAGCACAUAAAUUUACAACACAGCCCCAACAAACCACCCAAAAAGAACUGCAACCCAAGGAGAUUACUGUACUUUAAACACAAAUACAAAAUCAGAGGGGGUUUCGUCAGAGACCAUGUUUUUGCAAGAACCAGUGUUAUAUGUAGCAAGUGCAGCUUUAAGGUGUUUGGUAUUGUUUGCUGAGCUCCGGAAACCUGAUCCGAAUCGUGAAGCAUCAAAGAAAGCCCUUGAACAUAAGAAAGAAAUCACUAAGCAUUUGGGUCGUCCCUUUAUCCGAACAAACCCUUAUGAGGUGUGUGUGUGUGUGUCAAAGUUUCUAUUUUCGUUGAAAAGAUUGAAUUUUUUUUGCAUUUUUUGAUUUGGGUUUUUUUUUUUGGGUUUUAGAGGAUUAUGUGAAUCUUGGUUCUAGGGGUAAUUAAUGGAAUUUAGGUUUGUUUUGGUUUAUUGUUUUCUGGAGGAUUCUGUGAAUUUUGGUUAUAUGGUCAGAUAAUGAAACGAAGAAUUUUGUGAAUUUGGAUUAUAUGGUUAGUUAAUGGCAUAUCGGCUUUGUUUUUAUUAUGUGCUAUUGGUUUUAUUAUAUGCUUGAAUUGUCAUUUAUCUGCAAAAGUUUGAGUUUUGUUUGUGAUAGUGGGGUUGGGGUUGAUAUUGCAAUAAGGGAUGUGGGUAGUUUAUUGUAGGGAUUGGGGGGGUCUGGGUGUUUUGAUGCAGAUAGGUGCUUUAAUCGGUGUUUGGGAUAUGAGGGAGUGAUUACUUGUGCCAAAUGGGAUGGGAUUAAGUUUCCAGUUUUGCUGUGAUGAAUGAAGUUGCUUUUUGGUAGUUGAAACUAAGUUCAUUUCAGAUUGAGUUAUUUGUUAAACUUUUGAAAUGAUGGGUUGGAGCUUAGGCCUCUGGGUUGAUGAAAAGUUCAAAUUCUUGUGUGACAAUGGAGAUGGGGGCCAUGAGAUUAAGAUUGCGAUGAGGGAUCUUGGUGGUUUAGUGGGUUAUUGUAGGGAAUAGGGAUUAGGGGAUUUGGGUGUUUUAGUGAAGAUAGGUAAUUUAAUCAGUUUUUGGAACGGCGGGGAGUGACUCCUUGUGCUGAAUAGGGUGUGUUUAAGUUUCCAGUUCUGCUGGGAUGCAUGAAGUUGUUUUGUGUGUGUUGGUAGAAACUAAGUUCAAUUCUGAUUGAGUUGUAUAUUGAGCUUUUGUACUGGAGCGCUGGAGUUUAGGCCUCUGGGUCGAUGUUAUAGCAUGCUUGAAUUGUCAUUUAUUUGCUAGAAUUUUGAAUUUUGUGUUAUAAUAGGAUGAGGACCAUAAGGGUAAGACUUCAAUAAGGGAUGUGUGUGGUUUGGUGGGUUAUUGUAGGGAACAGUGAUUGUAGAAUUAGGGUGUUUUGGUGAAUAUAGGUGCUUCCAUCAGUUUUGGGGAUGUUGGGGAGUGAUUGCUCAUGCUGAAUGGGAUAUGAUUAAAUUUCAAGUUUUGUUGGAUGGAUGGAGUUAUUUUUGGUUGGUGGAAACUGGAGACCAAGUUCGUUUCUGAUAUAUUGGAACUUUUGUACUAUUGUGAUGACCUUGGGUUGGUGCUAUAGUACUGUUGUCAUUGUUUAUACAACCAUAAACUGUUAUAAUAUUUCCUGGUGUCUUCAAACGUGCCAUUUGUUUUCUAGGCUGUCUAUACUUUGUUGGGUGCUACCAUGCAACAAAUACUCAAAGUUUCUAACGUCAACUGAAUAAAUGAAAAUAUCCAUCAAUUGGAGUAUAUUUGAGUCUCUUCUAUAUCAUAAACUAAUGGCACAUGAUUAUUAGUUACAUUUAUAUUAGUCCACCUUUUUUGAAAAUGAUACUAUGUGAACGCCGAUGGCUGCUAUGUUCAGUAAUAGCCUCCUGCGUGACUGACUUGACAGGUUCAUAGUUGGAAGAAAUUAAAUUUGAAGACUUGGCCUUGAACCAAUAUGAUUGCUAUAACUGGGAAACAUAGAUAUUAGUUCUUUCUAUGCCUAAUGAAAUUUGGAUCGAAAACCAAAUUUUCAAAUAUGAAGCCUUCUGAUGGCAAUUGCUUUGUGGAAGAUUUAAACUGCUUCGUAACAAUCAAGCCUAUCCUCUAAACACUAUCCAAUAUGGCCAUGUUCUCAUGUUGAAAAUAUAAUUGAUUGGAAUAGAGGCUUUAAAAUUCAUGGUCGGUUUAAUGGUUUAUCAAUAUGCUGCAAUUGUAUAUUUUUAUUUUUGAAUCAAUUGGAUGAUUGGAAUCUAUCAAGCAAGCUUUGUAUGAACUGGUUAUUCUUCCUCUGCGGAAACCUGAGCUCUUCUCACAUGAGAAACUUCUUGGUCCACAAAAGGGGGUAUUGUUAUAUGGACCUCCAGGCACCGGGAAGACCAUGCUUGCAAAAACUAUUAUCAGAGAGUUUGGAGCUGUUUUUAUAAAUAUGAGGAUCUCUAAUCUGAUGAGCAAGUGGUUCGGCGACGCGCAAAAGCUCGGUCACCCCAUCCCACAAGCAGCAAUCUGUACCCUCUUUCCACGACUCUGUCUUGGGAUGCUGGCAAUUCCAUGAAGCAGAGCUAUUAAUGGAAAAGGAUUCUUUGAAUUGGAGCAAAGAAAGAUUUUGGUCAUGAGCACAAAAAUGAGAUGAAGAAAUUGUUGAAAGGAAAUGGAAGAGAAACAGAAUGAAAGAGAGGGACGGUGGUGAAAACCCCAUGUUUGGCCUUACAGGAUUUAGUAGUAUAUUUGGGAGAGAUGAGGAAUAAAGAAAGGCAUUGUUUGUAUAUUUAGUAGUAUAUUUAUAGACAAAGCAAUCUUAGAUUGUAUACUGACGAAAUCAAAGUCACUGACCGCCCAAAUCUCAAGUACAAGAGUGAGUAAUACGUGCGCAAAGCAAUGGGGGCACUAAAGACUUUGCACUUAUAUAUCGUUUCUCGUGACCCAAAAGUACUCUUUGUGUGCGCUCGGUAAUGUAUAUCAGUUUAAAAAUCGUGACAGCUUAAUUUGAAUGUUCAGAGAUGCUUUUUCCAAAUUGUAUUUAGCAAUGAGAUUUAUGCGUAGAUUGCUUUGCCCACUAAAAUAUAAUUUCCAAGAAAUUCAAGCCACAAAAUCCGCAAUACAUAGGAAGAAAACUUCUUGAAGAUUUACACUCGUAGUUUACUCACAGCAGAGUUAAAGAGUCAUCCUCACCUUUUUUUGUCGACUUCAAUCCAAUCCGGUCAACACGUUCUGGCAAUAGCUUUAUUGAACCGUUACUAGAAAACUGACAAACAAUGAAGAAUGGAGUUUGAAGGUUCUUGCACUCAAGAUGCUGUGGGAUCGGUCCUCCGAAAAGAUCUUUCUUUUUCAGCAUCAACAAGGGAAAAGCAAUCUUCAUUUGGUCUGUUCUUGAUCUCCAAGUCUUCGGAACUUGGAUGUAUAGAUAUUGUCCCCUCUUCAUGUGGUGCUGAAUAUGGAACUGAAGGUUCACUUGCAAAUAUUUCCACACAAGAGUGAGCGUCGGAAACACGGCAGUACUAAUUUCCAAAAUUGACAUUUUUGCAGCAAGUCUUUGUGCUAACAGAUACAGUUCAUGCUCUAAUUAGAACUUCCUUUGUAGCUCGUCUGAUGGCAGCUGUUCUCGGGGACAUCUACCCCGCUAUUAUUCCUUGCUGGCUUAUAAAUUUAAUACUAAUUGGAUCCCCCUUCGCAUGUACUGAUAGAUUAUUCUUGCUAUUAUUAACAAGAAUACGUGACUGUUUACUUGAAGGGUUAAGCAAUUUAUAUGUUUCCCAGAAGAAGAAGAAGCAUUUCAUAGCUAAUAGAUACAGUUUGUGCUCUUCCUUUGCAGCUCGUCUGAUGGGAAGUGUACGUUUCUGGGGACUUCUACCACUCGUCCUCGUCUUCUAUAAAACUCCAUGCCAACAAAAGGCAAUAAUGCAACCCUUGGUACAGAUUUUUGCUGGAUAUUUCCACGCAAGGAGAGCUCCCUUAACUAGUUGAUGACUAAACAAGAGUAGUGGACAGAGGGAAACAGGAUCGUUCUCAGGUAUCAUUAGGAAUUGUUUCAAGGAGGAAAAAGUAUAAGGUUAGGUUUCUUAAUGCCAGAGGCAGUUUGACAGAGAUGGAUAAGGAGGUUAGUGACAACUCUAUGGACUCUACUCUUGCCAAUGUCAAUGGAAGGUUGGAAAAUUGGCAACUUGUACUGAACCCACAAUAGUCUAUAGCUCUGAACGAGAGGUGGCAGCUACACAUCACCUUGGCAAGGUUUUAGGGAUUCAUAGAGAUACUAAUGAUGGUUUGGUUGCUGAACAUAUUCGGAGGCAGAUUGAUACGAAAUAGAAGGAAUGGUUGGACUCCCUCUAAGUUCUUGCUCUGGUGCCCAGUUUAUGAGUUUUGUUCUAAUCUUAAGCAGAUGCUACCAUAGAAUUAUAGAGAUUUAGGCAGUCUUUGUAGAAGGGGGGCUGCGCAAAAGUAUGUUAGUUCCAAUGAUAUUGAAGCUUUUUGUUUCUUGGAAACUAAAAUUUCUAAUUAUACGAACACCUUAGUCAAAAGUAUUUGGAGUGGGUCUAAACUGGAAUGGUAUAGUUUCUUAGCAAUUUUAGCAAUGUUAUUGUAUGUGUGUUAAAUAAACAUUAUUGCAUGCAUCACUUAUAAAGUAUUUUUAUUUUUGAACAAGAUGUCAUAGCAUGUGAUGUUAUAAAUCCUGAUCACAUAGAUGUGGAAUUUGAAUUAAUUGGAGGACUGGAAUCUAUCAAGCAAGCUUUGUAUGAACUGGUGAUUCUUCAUCUGCGGAAACCUGAGCUCUUCUCACAUGGGAAACUUCUUGGUCCACAAAAGGGGGUAUUGUUAUAUGGACCUCUCUGAUAAUUGAAGCAAGUUGCUGCUGUUUUUAGCCUGACUUGUAAACUCCAGCCUGCUAUUAUAUUUAUGGAUGCGGUUGAUAGUUUUCUAGGGCAGCUUCGUACAGAUUGUGAGUUCUUACUCUUGAAACAUAUGCUGCAUUUGUGCAGUCUUCUUAUACAGUGACUUGCUAGAAUGUGUUUAAUGUAAGAUUUG
This is an RNA transcript of Populus nigra (black poplar), 5124 nucleotides long. RefSeq lists it as uncharacterized. The transcript is spliced from 3 exons. NCBI's taxonomy places the organism in Eukaryota, Viridiplantae, Streptophyta, Magnoliopsida, Malpighiales, Salicaceae. The record is from RefSeq and is a predicted model, not a curated record.